This 511-nucleotide ribosomal RNA is filed under the name Pardosa prativaga. RNAcentral's name for it is "SSU rRNA". It matches the Rfam family "Eukaryotic small subunit ribosomal RNA", at positions 397 to 921 of the family's 1831-position model. The record is from RNAcentral. Lineage: Eukaryota; Metazoa; Arthropoda; Arachnida; Araneae; Lycosidae.
CCUGAGAAACGGCUACCACAUCCAAGGAAGGCAGCAGGCGCGCAAAUUACCCACUCCCAGAACGGGGAGGUAGUGACGAAAAAUAACAAUACGGGACUCUUUUGAGACCCCGUAAUUGGAAUGAGUACACUCUAAAUCCUUUAACGAGGAUCUAUUCGAGGGCAAGUCUGGUGCCAGCSGCCGCGGUAAUUCCAGCUCGAAUAGCGUAUAUUAAAGUUGUUGCGGUUAAAAAGCUCGUAGUUGGAUCUCAGUUCCAGACGGGUGGUCCGCCAAACGGUGGUYACUGCCCGUUCUGAACAGCCCGCCGGUUUCUCUUGAUGAUCUUCACCGGUUGUCUCGGGUGACCGGCAAGUUUACUUUGAAAAAAUUAGAGUGCUCAAAGCAGGCGYGASGCCUGRAUAAUGGUGCAUGGAAUAAUGGAAUAGGACCUCGGUUCUAUUUUGUUGGUUUUCGGAACCCGAGGUAAUGAUUAAGAGGGACAGACGGGGGCAUUCGUAUUGCGACGCUAGAG